CCGCCCAUAGCUCAGUCGGUAGAGCACUCGCCUCUUAAGCGAUUGGUCGUUGGUUCGAAUCCAACUGGGCGGACAA
This 76-nucleotide transfer RNA is filed under the name Candidatus Taylorbacteria bacterium RIFCSPHIGHO2_02_FULL_44_12. Its description in RNAcentral is "tRNA-Lys". It matches the Rfam family "tRNA". Rfam says of the family: Transfer RNA (tRNA) molecules are approximately 80 nucleotides in length. Their secondary structure includes four short double-helical elements and three loops (D, anti-codon, and T loops). The record is from RNAcentral. RNAcentral also lists the same sequence under 1 other name. Lineage: Bacteria; Candidatus Tayloriibacteriota.